Molecule: ribosomal RNA, 331 nt
Filed under: Escherichia coli
Lineage: Bacteria; Pseudomonadati; Pseudomonadota; Gammaproteobacteria; Enterobacterales; Enterobacteriaceae
Also listed under: 1 other name
Description: bacterial SSU rRNA
Rfam family: Bacterial small subunit ribosomal RNA
Source: RNAcentral
UACACACGUGCUACAAUGGCGCAUACAAAGAGAAGCGACCUCGCGAGAGCAAGCGGACCUCAUAAAGUGCGUCGUAGUCCGGAUUGGAGUCUGCAACUCGACUCCAUGAAGUCGGAAUCGCUAGUAAUCGUGGAUCAGAAUGCCACGGUGAAUACGUUCCCGGGCCUUGUACACACCGCCCGUCACACCAUGGGAGUGGGUUGCAAAAGAAGUAGGUAGCUUAACCUUCGGGAGGGCGCUUACCACUUUGUGAUUCAUGACUGGGGUGAAGUCGUAACAAGGUAACCGUAGGGGAACCUGCGGUUGGAUCACCUCCUUACCUUAAAGAAGC